Molecule: RNA transcript, 1202 nt
Organism: Malus domestica (apple)
Lineage: Eukaryota; Viridiplantae; Streptophyta; Magnoliopsida; Rosales; Rosaceae
Gene name: UDP-N-acetylglucosamine transferase subunit ALG14
Source: RefSeq, a predicted model, not a curated record
UUGUUUCUUCGAUCACUGCAUCUGAGAGUCGCUUCCAUAUUUUCCCUAAAGUCCUCGCCUUUGACGGAAAGCAAAAGCCUUUCGAUUCCCCAAAACAUGGGCUGCGCCGUCGCAAUCACUCUUUUAAUCGCCGCCGCAACGCUGAUCAUCACUCGCUUCCUCUACGUCCUGCACCGAACCGGCAAACCCAGCAGCUCGAAAGGCUCAGCUCCCCAACCCCUCAGCACCCUAAUCGUAUUGGGCUCCGGAGGCCACACCGCAGAGAUGAUCAACCUGUUGUCCGUCCUUCAAAAAGACAGAUUUGCCCCCAGGUUCUACAUCGCCGCCGCCACUGAUAACAUGAGUCUCCAGAAAGCUCGACUGCUCGAAGAGAACGCCGAUGAGAGUUCGAGCUCGCAGUUCAUGCAGAUCUACCGGAGCAGGGAAGUGGGUCAGUCUUAUUUCACCUCUGUUUUGACUGCUUUGAUUGCUUUGGCUCAUGGGCUCUGGCUAAUGAUCAGAAUCCGACCCCAAGUGAUUCUGUGCAAUGGGCCUGGGACUUGUGUUCCACUUUGUGUAAUUGCAUUCUUAUUCAAGGUUGUGGGGAUUAGAUGGUCGUCUGUGUUUUAUGUUGAGAGUAUAGCAAGAGUGCAGAGGCUCUCCCUGAGCGGCUUGCUUCUUUACAAGUUACGGAUAGCGGAUCAGUUCUUUGUCCAAUGGCCUCAGUUACAGAAGAAGUAUCCCAGAGCUCACUAUGUCGGUUGUCUCAUGUAGUUGAUCCGAUUCUGCUGCUGCUGCUAUACGUGCUCUAACGUCCAGGUUUUCUCAAUCGAAGGACAAUGCCCAGAACUUUUACUGAACAUGAAUGGAACAAAUAGGUCCAGAUGAAAUGUUUCCAUCUUCAAAUAAAUUUCAGAUUUGGACUCUGAAUCGUCAAGGUAGUGCUGAUAGAGAUAUGACGCAAAGCCCCAGAGGGCCAACAACGUGGCAAUCACCUUUAUUCCAUCCAUGUUAUCAUUGAAGAAGAUUACAGCUAGAACUGGAAUGAAAGGUAAGCCGGAAGCACUUAUGACAUUGGAGACUAAAGAAGACACCUCAAAUAUCAAUCCUAUGGCGCCAAUGUUGAAAGUUUGACAUGCUGUAGCUGUACAAAUCAAAGUCAGGAAAUAGGAUAGCCUCCCCAACGCAAACUCCUCCAUCUCGCUCUUUAAACCCUUCCAUUC